UUUGUAGCGGUGUUGUGGUUCGAAUAAUUGCGAUUCACCAUGAUGCCUUUGUUGCUGUUAACAAUGAAACAGCUUUUAGAGCAAAAACAGAAACAGAAGAGGCAAUCUCUCGGAAUGGUCCAAGCUUCAGAUAUUCGACCAACAUCCAGUAACAGCCAAAGAGGAUUGAUUCGAGAAGUCAAGCCCUUGAUGGCUGACUACAGUAUUCAGAGGAAUAGCAAUGAUAGCAUUGCUCUGUGCUAUGACGGGCCUCUUCAGUACACAAUGAACUCGGAUAACCCUGAUGGUACAGCAACAUCAGAAAUUGUGAGGUCAUUUUCAGAGCUAGGAGGUGAUGGAAAUGUUAACAUCCUAAAAUUAGUGCAAACUACCGACAGUUCUCAUGCAAAUGCUGAAGUAAAAAUGACUGAACACUCACGUUCACACGAUGACGACCUAAGAUCCGCGAAAGGGACAAGUCAGUUUCGUUGGAAUCGUGGUGAUCAAAGAUCCAUGAAAAUGAUCAUUCCAUCUCGUGCAAAUGAUGACGUCAAAACUAUCGACCAACCAGAAUUAAAGAAAAAGCUUGAUCGGCUAAACUUGCCUUCUCAAGUAAAUCAUGAUGAAGAAGAAGAGAGAGUUCCAAUUAUUCAGGCUUUUUCAAGUGAAUCAGACCUUCCAACAACCAAUCCUCACACUGUUGCUCAGUUACACCUUGGUGAGAGUCAAGAUUUGGUUAGAAACACCUUAUCAGGUGAAGUUGCACCUGCAGAAGAUGUGAGUGAAAGGGUCCAGAACUCCUCAACAUUGUCAAAUGUAACUAAAAAUUACAAAGACAGUCAGAUAGACAAACAAGUGUCUGGGCCCAGUGUGGAUUUCUGUAAAUUUGAAAACUUGUUGGAGAAUCUACCUGCAUUUGUUAAUGAACCCUGCCCCUGGGGAAUGACAAUUAGAUGUCGUAUAACUCGAGAUAACAAAGGGGUGGACCGAGGAUUUUUCCCUACAUAUUUUCUGCACUUGGAAAAAGAUAAUGGAAAAAGAAUUUUCUUGCUUGCCGCGAGGAAGAGAAAAAAAAGUAAAACUUCAAACUAUCUAAUAUCAGUGGAUCCAAUUGAUAUGUCACGAGGAGGUGAUUAUUUUGUGGGAAAAUUGAGGUCUAAUAUUUUUGGAACGUCUUUCACUCUCUUUGAUGGUGGAAUUAACUCAAAGAAAGCAAGCCUUUUUGAUGACAAAAAUAAUCUGCGUUGUGAACUUGCCACUGUUGUUUAUGAAACUAAUGUGUUGGGAUUUAAAGGUCCAAGACAAAUGACUAUUAUUAUUCCACAAAUUUCAUCUGACAACAAGAGGAUAGACAUAAGACCAGUAUCUGCAAGAUACUGAUACUUUAUUUGAAAAGUGGAAAAGAGGAAACAUUGAAAACUUGUUGGAACUUCACAACAAAGCUCCUGUGUGGAACAAUGAAAGUCAGAUGUACAUAC
RNAcentral lists this unclassified non-coding RNA (1457 nucleotides) under Limulus polyphemus (Atlantic horseshoe crab). Its description in RNAcentral is "protein king tubby-like, transcript variant X2". The record is from RNAcentral. Lineage: Eukaryota; Metazoa; Arthropoda; Merostomata; Xiphosura; Limulidae.